GCUUAACACAUGCAAGUCGAGGGGCAGCAUGAUCUUUGCUUGCUAAGGUUGAUGGCGACCGGCGCACGGGUGCGUAACGCGUAUGCAACUUGCCUUACAGAGGGGGAUAACCCGUUGAAAGACGGACUAAAACCGCAUACACUUGUAUUAUUGCAUGAUAUUACAAGGAAAUAUUUAUAGCUGUAAGAUAGGCAUGCGUCCCAUUAGCUGGUUGGUGAGGUAACGGCUCACCAAGGCGACGAUGGGUAGGGGAACUGAGAGGUUUAUCCCCCACACUGGUACUGAGACACGGACCAGACUCCUACGGGAGGCAGCAGUGAGGAAUAUUGGUCAAUGGGCGAUAGCCUGAACCAGCCAAGUCGCGUGAAGGAAGACAGUCCUAAGGAUUGUAAACUUCUUUUAUACGGGAAUAACGGGCGAUACGAGUAUUGCAUUGAAUGUACCGUAAGAAUAAGCAUCGGCUAACUCCGUGCCAGUAGCCGCGGUAAUACGGAGGAUGCGAGCGUUAUCCGGAUUUAUUGGGUUUAAAGGGUGCGUAGGUUGUUCGGUAAGUCAGCGGUGAAACCUGAGCGCUCAACGUUCAGCCUGCCGUUGAAACUGCCGGGCUUGAGUUCAGUGGCGGCAGGCGGAAUUCGUGGUGUAGCGGUGAAAUGCAUAGAUAUCACGAGGAACUCCGAUUGCGAAGGCAGCUUGCCAUACUGCGACUGACACUGAAGCACGAAGGCGUGGGUAUCAAACAGGAUUAGAUACCCUGGUAGUCCACGCAGUAAACGAUGAUUACUAGGAGUUUGCGAUAUACCGUCAAGCUUCCACAGCGAAAGCGUUAAGUAAUCCACCUGGGGAGUACGCCGGCAACGGUGAAACUCAAAGGAAUUGACGGGGGCCCGCACAAGCGGAGGAACAUGUGGUUUAAUUCGAUGAUACGCGAGGAACCUUACCCGGGAUUGAAAUGUAGAUGACGGAUGGUGAAAACCGUCUUCCCUUCGGGGCUUCUAUGUAGGUGCUGCAUGGUUGUCGUCAGCUCGUGCCGUGAGGUGUCGGCUUAAGUGCCAUAACGAGCGCAACCCACAUCGGUAGUUGCUAACAGUUUUCGCUGAGGACUCUACCGAGACUGCCGUCGUAAGGCGUGAGGAAGGUGUGGAUGACGUCAAAUCAGCACGGCCCUUACAUCCGGGGCGACACACGUGUUACAAUGGGAGGGACAAAGGGCAGCUACCGGGCGACCGGAUGCGAAUCUCUAAACCCUUCCCCAGUUCGGAUCGGAGUCUGCAACUCGACUCCGUGAAGCUGGAUUCGCUAGUAAUCGCGCAUCAGCCAUGGCGCGGUGAAUACGUUCCCGGGCCUUGUACACACCGCCCGUCAAGCCAUGGGAGUCGGGGGUACCUGAAGGGCGUAACCGCAAGGGGCGCACUAGGGUAAUACCGG
Molecule: ribosomal RNA, 1425 nt
Filed under: uncultured organism
Description: 16S ribosomal RNA
Rfam family: Bacterial small subunit ribosomal RNA
Source: RNAcentral